UCGAGGUGAAAACAGAAGAAAGACAACCGAAAACAAAACGUAAACAGCCAAGCACCGAACGUUAGACACUCUCAAGGAUAAACAGUAUGAGAUCAUCAUUCCUCUUCCGUCCCUCGACAAAGAACAACAAUCUCCAUGGAUCUGUGUUUGGUUUUCUUUUAAUAAAUAUGUGUUAGAACUUUAAA
This 185-nucleotide long non-coding RNA is filed under the name Polistes fuscatus (common paper wasp). RNAcentral's name for it is "uncharacterized LOC122517469". The record is from RNAcentral. Lineage: Eukaryota; Metazoa; Arthropoda; Insecta; Hymenoptera; Vespidae.